Molecule: long non-coding RNA, 1072 nt
Filed under: Chloebia gouldiae (Gouldian finch)
Lineage: Eukaryota; Metazoa; Chordata; Aves; Passeriformes; Passeridae
Description: Erythrura gouldiae (Gouldian finch) lncRNA (ENSEGOG00005003293.1)
Source: RNAcentral
CUCAGUCACAGACCUUAUUUCUGCACACAGGCUGAAGAAGUGUAAAGAUAUGAGCAACUGUUGAAGUUGGCCCUGCUUUGAGCAGGGGGAUGGAUUGGAUUCUUUCCAGAGGUGUCUUCCAACCAGAUUUUUUUUCUAUGAUUCUGUGGUUCUAUGCUAACAUUUGCUAUAUCUAGGUGGAAGCUGAAUUCUGUGGCUGCUAAAAUACAGUGGGCUAAGGAGUUUUGACCUUCAGGUCAGAUAUCUUGUGGGAAACCUCAUCCACCCACUCUCCUGCCAGGCUCUGGUUCCCUCUUCUUGAUGAAUAGAGAAUUUGUACAAAAUAGGUUUGGCAGUGCCUUGUACCAUAGAUCCUAUGGGCUUUUUUCUUCCUGAAAGGAGACAAAUCUGGUCUAAAUUAAAAAAUCAAGAUCUUCUUUCGGAAGUCUGUUGGAAAGGCAAAAGCAAGAACCAUUGCUCUGUAACUGAAUAACCAAACUCCACGAGCCAGUCAACUGAUCCAGGGUACAUAUUUGCAUUCAAUAAUAAGGACAUUUAUUGCACCUUGUGACCUACUGAAACAUGAACAAGGAUUUUCCUUUCCCUGUAUUUCAGUGAGUUUCCUUGCAACAUUACCCCAGACAUUUGACAUGAUGAUUUUGGAUGUUCCAGAGAAAAUUCCUACCUGUUUUGUGCCUUUCAUAUUCCCAAAUCUAGCCCUACCUGGGGUGUGCUGAAAUAUAAUUCUCUUAAACCUGCAGUCCCUGGGAGUCCAGUUCUGUGAUUUUGGAGCCACAUGACAACAAGCAGAAGUCUGUCCUCCCCUGUGAGCCUCUUGCCCCAGCCCACAGGCACUGCCAAUCCAUGGCCCUGCUGCAGCUUUCCCCAGAAGACAGGGGAUGAUGCUUGACUGUCUAAAAGGGUUCAGACAAAAUCAGGUGAGUCAUGCUGCAGAAAUGAGCCCUCCUCUCCACAAAGGGAGCUUUCCAUGACCUGAGCUUUAGCAGACAUCCAUGAGGUGGCCAUCUAAAGGCUGGUGAGAUGAGCCCUAGUCCAAGAACACAGAAAGAUUCCUCUUGGGACCUGGGAGAAA